AUUUCCUUGACCUUCAGCUUUUAAAAAUCCCCACUUUUGAAGUCUCAUCCCCAAUAAAUUCAUCGCCACCACGCCAUUCUCGAUCAUUUUUAUUCCAAUCAGAUUCAAAACUCCAUUCUCAGUCACUCUCUUGACAAGGCUUUGACGAGCCAUUGAGUUGCGCCGUGACUUCCUCUCAACAAACAUCCAUGGCCCAAAAGAUUCUGUCAGCUCCACCACCUUAUCUUUUUUCGAUGAGUCACUCACCGUCAACUUCGUACCCACAUCAGUAUUCUUUGUUGGCCUAAUGCCAAGGCACAGGUCUUUCAUGUGACCAAACCGACCACAUGAAAAGUAAACAAACGGUAAUGAUUCAAACUCAACCCUUUGCACCACUCUGUUAACUAGGAUCUAAGAGACUAGAGGUUUUCCCAGAUCGAUAUACACUGCCAUCCUGGAAAAUUUCCCCCUUGAACGCUUGUUUGUUGUAAAUCAAGCUUGUUAUAGUACCGACUAAGCCCUCGAUUUCAUCCAAGAUUUGACGUUUGUAGAGAAGUCCCAGCAAACCAAGAAACCGAACCCAAACCAUGGUGUAGUUGGGGAAAGCCUGAAGGGGGUUAAACUUCAAAGUCCACGGUUGCACUGUGAGAUACUGACCAAGCACAAUCCACAACCUUUGGGUAAGCACCUUCUCGUAAACCUCUCGACUUUGAAAUUUUACCAGAAAAUAUCCAUUUUCCACAUCCAUGAGAUGGAACUGGUGGGAGGGUUUCCAAAAGGUAUGGAUCAUAUUCUGCAAGAAUGUAUGCAAUAAGUUUCAACCCGGUAAUUUUACCACCACUGUGGCCGCCAUUUCUCUAACCAGAAUUUGUUAAACCCUCUUAGAGAAACUAAUUACAGGUAUUCCAUUAACCAUAGUCCUCACGAAAUCUCCUUCUAUAAACUCAAAAUCCUUAUCAUUACUAGAUCCAAAAACCCCUUGACCCAAAACUUUGUCCAUCCAAGACGUAUCCAACGCUAGAAAUGAGUCCAUAGCGAUAGCACUAUCCGUAUCUGAGUCCAAAUCCUUAAAACAAGCCUUUUUAGUCUGUCAAUCCCCGAUCGAACUUUCGUCAUCACCGUCCUCAGCCGUAAAAAGUCUUGUCUUGUUUAUUGUUAAUUUGUAAACUAUUUAAGUUAAAACUUAUAAGUUUCAUUUUGUGAUAUUUAUUGGUGACAACUAUAAUGAUAACUUUUAAAAUGAGAACCAAAAUGAUCUUAGUCAUUAGAUUAAAAUAAAUGGUUCUAAGCCUUAAAUUUUGUAUUUAUCUCAUCUUACUAAAAUAAAACUAGCAACAUCCUAUCUUUCUUUUUUCUUUCCAGUGUGUAAUUGAAGUCUUUGGGUGAAAAAGGUUUGGAUAAUCUUUACUUUCAAAUUUAAUCUUCUUUUUUUUUUUUUGAAAAAAAUUGCAAUAGAAAGUAAGAGUUUAGGGUUAUUAAGAUUAAUCAAAUUGUGUAUUAGGUAUUUUUUUUAUUGAAAAAAUUGGUUAACCAUUUCAUUCUAAAAAAAUUGGGAUUUUUACAUUGGUUGACUCACUUUUUGCCCAAUCAAUGUAAAAAUCCCAAUUUUUUUAAAAAAUGAAAUGAUCAACCAAUUUUUUCAAUAAAAAAAUAAAUACCUAAUACAAAAAUUGAUUAAUCUUAAUAACCCUAAUUUUUCUUUUCAAUUCCAAUUCUUUUUUCAAAAAUUAAAUCUGAAAGUAAAGAUUAUCCAAAAAAAAAUUGAAUGUUAUUGGUUCUAUUUUAAUAAGGUAAGCUAAAUACAAAUUUUUUGGCUUAAAACCAUUUAUUUUGAUUUAAUGACUAAGAUAAUUUUAGUUCUCAUUGUUACCAUUUUAAAAGUUUUCACUAUAAUUGUCAUCAUAGUUAUUGCUUUGUAAAACAAUUGAUAGAUAACACUCACUUAAUCAAACUCUUAAUAUAUAAGUAUAAAUGAUAAUUUCUAUUAUCUUUUCAGUUUUGUAUUUAUAUAAUGGAUAGUGUUGGAAUAAAUUGAGAGAAAAACCAAAGGAAUUUUCAAAAAGAAAAAAAAAAAAGAAUUCUUGAAAUUUCAAAAGGAAAUUUGAAGCGUUCAAAUCUUUUGGAAAUGAUAUUAUUGCUAAUAUGUGUCUUUGUUUCAUGUUUAUCUUAUUUUUGGUAUUGUAUCGUUUUUUAAUAUCAUUUUUAUGUAUAAAUUUUACUAGAAUAUACCCAAACGUCAACAUGAUAUUCUAGGAUAAGGAUUUUAUUGCAAGAUGAAAACACCUGUAAUUCUUGAACAAAAAAGAAAAUUAAAUAGCAAAUAAUUAAUUGCAUUAAACAGCUAGUUUUGAAGGGAAGCAUAUACUAUAAUAUUUACCAACUUUCUCCCAAUGCUUAUGUCUAUCAACAUUAAUUCCCCCCCCCCCCCCCCCUCCUUGCAUAUGCAUCGUGUAAUGAAGCUAAAUGUAGCAAGCUAAUCCACCUAUGAAUGAGCUUGAGAAACUUCACCUUUCUCUCCAAGUUGGGUCUCUGCUUCCAAAAUCCGGGCAGUUCCUUCCAUCUUCAAUCCCUCCAUGUUUAUUUCAGGGAUAAUCGGAGGCUUCAUUCUUCGUGUAACUGUCAUCUUCAGCCCCUGCGUUGUGUGGAUAGUUGCUCCAGUAGUCAUUUCAACCUGAAUACAGAUUUCAUUGAUCUUUUAUACGGUAUAUCCACUUUUCUUUUUGAAUUACUACACGUUUAUAAGACACCAUUCGUACUCAAAGCACAUACGAAUAAUAAUAAAACUCUCAAACAAAUCAUAGCUUGGCUAGGUACUGGUAUUUCAGCUUCAAAAAUAGCUGAGAAUCUCUUUGUACUUAUGUCCGAUACAUAGCUUAUGCAUGGGGUAUAUGUAGUUUGACAUGCAGAUAGUCAACAAUUCUUAUUCUAUUAAGCCGAUAUCGGAAAGUGAACUUACAAGAGAGUUUCAGGUUUUUGGGGUUUUUAGUCCACUAGAAGUUUGAGAGCCAGCUACACUUUAUGUCAUUUACAAGUAAAAGUUGUAAACAUGAACAACA
This 3035-nucleotide long non-coding RNA is filed under the name Gossypium barbadense (sea-island cotton). RNAcentral's name for it is "long non-coding RNA (GBAR_LNC012894)". Lineage: Eukaryota; Viridiplantae; Streptophyta; Magnoliopsida; Malvales; Malvaceae. The record is from RNAcentral.